Gossypium raimondii (Peruvian cotton) is the source of this 149-nucleotide non-coding RNA. The record is from Rfam. NCBI's taxonomy places the organism in Eukaryota, Viridiplantae, Streptophyta, Magnoliopsida, Malvales, Malvaceae.
UAUUAAAAUUUAAUUAAUUUGUACAAUUAAAAAUUGACGCGGCUGACAAAAUAACUUAUAGUGUCAUGUGCAAAUGACAUGCCAUGUGUAUCUCAUGUUGAUGUACAAGGAUCGAUUUUUAACAAUAAAAAUGAAUGGAAUUUUUAACA